This 332-nucleotide ribosomal RNA is filed under the name uncultured Chloroflexota bacterium. RNAcentral describes it as "bacterial SSU rRNA". It matches the Rfam family "Bacterial small subunit ribosomal RNA", at positions 28 to 351 of the family's 1533-position model. The record is from RNAcentral. Lineage: Bacteria; Bacillati; Chloroflexota.
GAUGAACGCUGGCGGCGUGCUUAAUACAUGCAAGUCGAACGAGGAACUAUUUUCUUCGGAAGAAAGUUUCCUAGUGGCGAACGGGUGAGUAACACGUUGGUGACCUGCCCCGAAGCGGGGGAUAACAGUCCGAAAGGAUUGCUAAUACCUCAUGAUAUCAAUUGGAUUAGAUACCUUUUGAUCAAAGGCGAAAGCCACUUUGGGGAGGGCCUGCGUCCCAUCAGCUAGUUGGUAGGGUAAUGGCCUACCAAGGCUAAGACGGGUAGGGGACCUGAGAGGGUCGGACCCCCACACUGGCACUGAAACACGGGCCAGACACCUACGGGUGGCAG